This is a long non-coding RNA of Acipenser ruthenus (sterlet), 1439 nucleotides long. RefSeq lists it as uncharacterized. The transcript has 2 exons. Lineage: Eukaryota; Metazoa; Chordata; Actinopteri; Acipenseriformes; Acipenseridae. The record is from RefSeq and is a predicted model, not a curated record.
UAUGGUACAUUAAUAUGUAGAAAUGAAUUGUAUAUAUAUUUUUAAAUUGUAUUUAAUGGUGUAUGUUUAUUUCAUUUCCAGAUUAUAGCAUCUGAUAUUUUAAUAAAAAUGUGACUGUACACUACAAUACAAUACACAUGUACUGUGCGCGUCACAAGAAAUGAAUACAUGUUAACAAUGGGGCCUCCUACAGCUGAUGUUGAGAAUAUGGAAUGGGGUAUUAUUGUAUAAUAGUAUGAAUUAGCUGCUCUUAAUAUGAAAUGCCAUCUUUAUUUAAUACAUACUCACAUAGUGAGGUGUUCUGUAUACUCUGGGAGGGGAUAUAAAGAAGGAGCCCUGUCUUUGGAUUUUGCCAAUAAUAGAAAUGUACAAAUAGAGAGACACUCCUUUGAAAUAUAUAGCUCUCUAAUACGCUACUGAGGCCCCAUUCUUGUAUAAAGCAGCCACUGCAGUGACUUCAAAUGGACUGAACUCAAUAUAUCACUUGUAUCUUUCACAGUAAGGUACAGAUGCUACUAUGCUCAUCACUAUCACUACUAUUUCUACUACCAUCAUGGGUACCGCUGCGCUCGCAGAAUCUCAUCAAGCAGCUUCUUGAAGGAUCCCAGGGUGUCAGCUUCAACAAAAUUACUAGGGAGUUGGUUCCAGACCCUCACAAUUCACUAUGUAAAAAAAGUGCCUCCUAUUUUCUGUUCUGAAUGCCCCUUUAUCUAAUAUCCACGUGUGACCCCUGGUCCUUGUUUCUUUUUUGAUGUUGAAAAAGUCCCUUGGGCCAACAUUGUCAAUACCUUCUAGGAUUUUGAAUGCUUGAAUCAGAUCACCGCGUAGUCUUCUUUGUUCAAGACUGAAUAGAUUCAAUUCUUUAAGCCUGUCUGCAUAUGACAUAUUCUUUCUAUAGCAGUGUGGCAAUGUGCUCCGCCCCUGUGUGAAUUUCUGUGUUGUAUGUUGCGUGUGUUAAUGUUGGUGUAUAGAGAUUGGUACACAGGAUAUAAACGGGUCUGUGUUUCACGUGGUAUUUAAAUUGUAUAAUUGUAUUUAGGCACGGGAUUGCACAUCACUGUACGUGCAUUUAAAGUAAGUAAUAUGCGCGCACGAGGUUGCACAUAAUUAAUUCACAUUCUGGGAUUCAAGUGAAUAAUUAAUUAUUAAUUGAAUCCCAGCACAACAGUAUAAAUAGAUGCACGUUUCAUUCAUUCGUGGUUGUGUGUUCAGGGCGAAAGAACAGAGAGAGAGAGUGAGGAGAACGAGAACGAGAACGUGAAAGUGAGCAAUUGCUACGUGGUGCUGCAGGACCAGCACAGUACGUGUUUGUUUAGUGUUCGUUUUUGUUUGUCUCUUUGUUUUGGCUACCAGUGCCGUGUUUUGUGUUACAACCUUUUUAUUUUCUGUCUGUUACUUAUUAAAUGCUGAGCGCGAUCACGCGCUCAGCUUCACCAAAA